AGUAAAUAGAUACCCGGGUAGUCCACGCCGUAAACUAUGCACACAAGCUGUAGUGGGAUUUUACUCCUGCUGUGGCGAAAGCUAACGCAAUUAGUGUGCCGCCUGGGGAGUACGGUCGCAAGACUGAAACUCAAAGGAAUUGACGGGGGCCCGCACAAGCGGUGGAUUAUGUGGUUUAAUUCGAAGCAACGCGCAGAACCUUACCUAGGCUUGACAUCCCACGACAACCGUAGAAAUACGGCUUUGUAGCAAUACACGUGGAGACAGGUGCUGCAUGGCUGUCGUCAGCUCGUGUUGUGAAAUGUUGGGUUAAGUCCCGCAACGAGCGCAACCCCUGGAUUUAGUUGCCAGCAUUAAGUUGGGCACUCUAAAUUAACUGCCAGCGUUAAGCUGGAGGAAGGUGGGGAUGACGUCAAGUCCUCAUGGCCCUUACGCCUAGGGCUACACACGUAAUACAAUGGAUAGGACAAAGGGUUGCGAACCCGCGAGGGGUAGCUAAUCUCAAAAACCCUAUCCUCAGUUCGGAUUGGAGGCUGCAAUUCGCC
Molecule: ribosomal RNA, 545 nt
Filed under: uncultured bacterium
Lineage: Bacteria
Description: bacterial SSU rRNA
Rfam family: Bacterial small subunit ribosomal RNA
Source: RNAcentral